Molecule: small RNA, 542 nt
Filed under: uncultured Tylospora
Lineage: Eukaryota; Fungi; Basidiomycota; Agaricomycetes; Atheliales; Atheliaceae
Description: eukaryotic LSU rRNA
Rfam family: 5.8S ribosomal RNA (bases 204-358)
Source: RNAcentral
ACAGGGUCUCUAUAGGAGCACGUGGAGAAGUCUCUUUUUAGAUUUAGAGGGGGGUGUGUGGGGGCCCUUUGGGGCGCAUGCGCGUGUGCGCGCUGUAAAUCUACACACGUGAGAUCUCACUGGACGCUUUGGGGUUUGUGUCUCAUAUAUAUAUACUCAGAUCAUAGAAUGUACAUUUUGCCUUUAAAAAAGCAAUCAAAUACAACUUUCAACAACGGAUCUCUUGGCUCUCGCAUCGAUGAAGAACGCAGCGAAAUGCGAUAAGUAAUGUGAAUUGCAGAUUUUCAGUGAAUCAUCGAAUCUUUGAACGCACCUUGCGCUCCUUGGUAUUCCGAGGAGCAUGCCUGUUUGAGUGUCAUUAAAUCCUCAACCCCGUCCGUCGGUCGGGGCUUGGACUUUGGAGCGUGCUGGCGAAGGUCGGCUCCUCUUUAAAUGCAUCAGCGGAGAAAAACAAACCUUUUUUCCCCCUUCAGCGUGAUAACCGCGUUGCGCUGUGGUCGCGAAAGGGUCCGCUCAUAAUCGUCCUCGGACAAACACCGAAU